GAUGAACGCUGGCGGCGUGCCUAACACAUGCAAGUCGAGCGGACAGACGAUGAGCUUGCUGCGUUCACGUUUGCCGCAGGCGGGUGUGUAACGCGUGGAUCACCCACCUAUAAUACUGGGAAAACUUCGGGAAUCCGGAGAUAAUCCCGUAUAAUAUAUUGAACCGCAUUGGGCAAUAGUGAGAUACGGUGUUUCUGUAACGUAUAGAUGGAUCCGGGCCGCAUUAGCUGGUUGGUGGGUUAACGGCUUACCAAGGCUACGAUGCGUAACCGACCGGAGAGGGUGAUCGGCCACAUGGGAACUGAGACACGGUCCAGACUCCUACGGGAGGCAGCAGUAGGGAAUCUUCCGCAAUGGGCGAAAGCCUGACGGAGCAAGGCCGCGUGAGUGAUGAAGGUCUUCGGAGCGUAAAACUCUGUUAUUAGGGAAGAACCAAUGUGUAAGUAACUAUGGCCGUAUUGACGGUACCUGGUCAGAAAGCCCCGGCUAACUACGUG
This 497-nucleotide ribosomal RNA is filed under the name uncultured bacterium. RNAcentral describes it as "partial 16S ribosomal RNA". It matches the Rfam family "Bacterial small subunit ribosomal RNA", at positions 28 to 507 of the family's 1533-position model. The record is from RNAcentral.